AAAGGAAUGUGUUGGCAAGGCUGGCAUCCCUGUCCUCUCAGGGGUGUAAACGGCUUUCCUGCUCCCACAGGUUCAAAGAGCACUUCAUUUCACAGAAAAAGUACAGCUAAUAAGAAACAGAUUCUCUGGCUCUGGCCACAGCUCUGAGAGCCCAGGAGGCAAAGGAAAGCCCCCCAAAACCUGGAUGUGACUGUCUGCACUGCAGGGCCUUCUCACCCCACCUCUUUGGAGCCACAGAGCUGUCUCAACAGCAGAAAAGAGGGGUUGCUGAGAGGUGGGGGUGAGUGCAAAGCAGAGUCCACAUAAAUGAUUGAGAAGAGCCUUGGGGAAGGGGACUUCUGAGCUGUGGUCCUUCUAAUCACUCAGGCUGAGUCUUUUCUUUUAGGCCUGGAAACUAAGUUAGACAACACCUUAUUAUAAGAACAGUAACUUCCUUGUUCUGGGAGUUGCAGAAUACCAGCUGUAGCAUGGCACAGUGGGAAGGCCAUUGGUUUUGAGGCGGCAAGACCCGGUUUGUGGUCUCCGGGCCUUAGUCUUCUCAGCUUUCCAGUGAGCACACUGGUAGUGAUCACUGAGAAUACCCAUGCUGCUAUCCAUCAUGCAAUAAAACAAACACCAUGUUGAGGCCCAGGGGACCUGGGUUCUAGCCUUGGUUCUCCUCCACAUACACCCUGGGCAAUGCAGGCUGGGGCAAUGAGUCUUGGAUGACAAAAAAGGCCUAACCUCAAAUCCUGGCUCUUCUCACUUUGUGAGUAGUGCUUGGGUGAGUCACUUAGCAUCUCUGAACCUCUACUUCCUCAUCUGUAACCAGCACCAAUACAGCGAACCUCAUUGGCCUAGGGGGAGGAUUAUGAGAAGAGAUACCUAAACUACAAAAAAUAGCACUUAGUGGAUGCUUGAAGAUAAGGCUGGAGCCUGGUUUUCCCCAAGGUUUGUCACCAAACCAGAGGACAAAUCCAGGCUGGAUCCAUGGCCGAACAAUACGAUAAAGGUAACAUAGUAGAGUGAUUGUGGUGUCCCAUGUUCUGUUAUCAGAAUCUUACUCUAUCCUCACAAAAAGUACAUGGGGCAAGGACUGCUGUUUUCCUUAAAUAAUUGGAACCAGGACAUAAACAGAAAAGGAUAGACUCCAGAAGAUGUGCUAAGUCAUUCCUCUGUCCUUCAAAGCUUCUUGUAGGCUUCACCCCUCUCCUCUGAGUGCCUGCCUACCUGCUGGAGCUCAGACUCUAUCCAACCUUCCAUGGGCUCUAAGUGUCCAACCUGGAUGGCUCUCUGAUUUCCUUUGCCCUGCUUUCUCUCCAUAGUGUUAGAAGAAAUAUUUCCCUCAUUUAUCAAAUGUUUCUUGAAACCUACUGUGUGCUGGGCAUUUGUGAUACCAUAGUGAACAGAAUAGAAAAAGAAAAAUCCCUGUCCUCAUGGAGCUUAUAUUCUGAAGGGGCAGUAGGGGAUAAAAUAAACAGAUAGACAAGGGAAAUUUUUUCAUUUUUUAAAUGAUUUUUAUUUUUUCCAUUAUAGUUGGUUUACAGUGUUCUGUCAAUUUCUACUGUACAGCAAAGUGACCCAGUCACACAUAUAUAUACAUUAUUUUUCUCACAUUAUCCUCCAUCAGAUUCCAUCAUAAGUGACUAGAUAUACCCUGUGCUAUACAGCAGGAUCUCAUUGCUUAUCCACUCCAAAUGCAACAGUUUGCAUCUGUGAACCCUACACUCCCGGUCCAUUCCACUCCCUCCCUCUCCCUGACAAGGGAAAAUAUUAAACAUCAAGUCACAGUUUCACUGGGAUUAGUUUAUCAAGGAUUAGUAAGAUACUUAAAGUACUUUGGUUCUUACAAUAUUCAUUAUAAUAUUAAACACUAACUAUGUACCAGACAUUAUGCUAGGAACUGAGAUUAAAAUGAUGAAUAACACGUAUGCCUUGCCUUUGGUGAAGUCCUAUUCUGGAAAGAGGAAUAGGCAUAUUAAAUGAUUUUAACAUAUGGUGCUAAGAACUGUUUUGGAGAAAUUUCUUCCAGUACCUCAAAAAGGAGAUGAGGGAAGAACUAGGAGCCUGAAAAAGGCUUCAUAGAGAAGGCAACAUCCAAGCUUGCAACCAGACAGAAAUGUAGGGACUUCCUGGAAAUAAUAGGCAAAAAUAUGCACAGAAUAUUUGGAAAAACAGAUUUCACAUUCCCAUGUAAGUGAAGAACUGGGUGAAUGAAGGAGAGGGAUGAAACUGGAGAGUAUCACAGUAACUCUGGGUGUUAUCAAGUAAGUGAUGAAGAUUAAUAGGAUAUUUCUAAGUAAGAGCAAGACCCAACCAUACAUGUAUUUUACUUAUGCAUCUUCCUCUUCACUAAUCCUUUCUUCAGCUGUGUCUAUACUGUUAGACCUAUAUUUUUGGUGCUUAAUAUGAGUAAUUUCAUCUUAUUGCUCUGGAAUUUCCAGUUGAUUUUUUUUUUGUCAGUUUUGUUUCUCUAUAAAAAUUUUCCAUCUUUUCCUCUAUUUUCUUUUUUUUUCUUUUUCUUUCCUUCUUUUUUUUUUUUUUUUUUUUUUGCCAUAUCUGUGGCACACAAAAGUUUCUGGGCCAGGAACUGAACCAGCACCACAGCAGUGACAACACUAGAUCCUUAACAACUAGGCCACCAGGAAACUCCUCUUCUAUUUUCUAUUUUCUUGAACAUAGUAAGUAUUUUCACAAUCUGUGGUUGAUGACACCACCAUAUGUUUCACCUGUGAAUCUGUUUAUAUUUUCUACCUUUGCUUUUGUUUUUUUCAGUCCUUUGGUCUUGUCUCCCAGUGUGCUUACUUUGGGUCAGCUGUGCACCAGUGGCCAUCUCUUGUUCAAAGAAUAGCCUAGAGUUUUUUCCCCUGGCAGAGCAUUGAGGGGAGGACAGAAUUCUCCCAAAGGGCAGAGGAGGCAUAGCAGACAUCAUCUGGAGAAUCUCCGGAGAGUUUCUGAUAGUGAGGGCAGGAUGGCAAGGAGGAUUUCAGAAAGAGGAUAUGGAAGAAUGUGGGUGACAGGGGUGUGACUCUCCAGCCUGGGCCCCCUCCAUAGUAACCGCCUCCUAGCCAGACUGGGAGCAGUACGGCAUCAAUCACUUUCCACUCCGCCCUGCUCCAGCUGGGAAAGACAUCCUGGCUGUGUAAACUAACCUUAUGAGUCUAAUUCCAAGAAGGCCAAGGAAUUUGACAGGAAACAACACAAGCUAGUCUCCUUAGAUCUUUGUCUGGGCUUGACGUGAUUGGGUCUGAAAUAGCUACAGAGAACCUCAUUAUUAAACGUUUUAAACCCACAAAAAUACACACACUUUUGCAUGCACAAACAGGAAGGUUUAAGACAAGGCCACCAAAAGGGUGAGGCCAUACAGGCCCCCACACAGGAACUGAAACCAAAGCUUCGAUUUCAAGUCAGAUCCCUGGUUCUGGAGGAUUGUUUGACAGGCCUUGUCACUCACAUUCUGAAAAUCUGUCUCCACAGCCAAGAAUCCUUCAUAGCUGUCCCCACUCUCCAUCUUGACUGUUCUUAUGUGUUUGAGGAGGCUCAGAGGUGGCUGUUUUCUAACGCAGAGUGAGCCAUCUCUGCCAAGAGCUUGUCUUGCCAAUCGCUUCCUUGGCCUCAGCCCUCAGCUUGCCCAAGUCUGACAUCACUCUUCCCCCCCAUCGACACCUCCAGAAUAAAGAGCCGCCACUGAGACUAUGACUUGCCAGACCUGGUCACACUCUGUCUCAGGUGUUUCUAGCCGACAGCUUUCAGAGUGGCGGAAUCCUGCACAGCCAUGCGUACAGCCCUCGUUGCUAAGGAUGGCCUAGAGACCCCAGAUCUCCUCUGCUGGGGGGAUGAUCAUCUGGUUAGGGAGGAAUGGAUGAUGUCGGGUCCUGGUCCCCCAAAGCCUGAGGGGUCCCAGCCCUCGUGCAGCUAGGAGCGUCAAGGAUCCUCACAAAGAGUCUUUGCCUUUGCUGAGUCUGGAAUGAGUCCCGCUUUGGUGCUGAGGUAGACAGCAGGUAUCUAAUCAUGGGCUCAAGGAUCUGAUCUGGCUGAGUUCACCUACUGCUGCUGCUCUUAGCUCUAUGUCCGUGGGCACAUUGCUCCAUUCUUUAUCUCUUCUUUCAUUAUGUAAUAUGGAGACAGUUACAUCCUAGGGUUCUGUCAGGAUUAAAUGAAUUGAUACAUGUAAAUUUCUUAGAACAGUCCUAGGAUUGAAGAGUGGUCAGUGAGUAAUAGCAGGAGAGGCAAAUGUGAAGUUAGUAGUUAACGAAUACGGAGCUUCAGUUUAUGGAGAUGAAAAGCUCUGAAACUAGAUGGUGGUGAUGUUUACAUAUCUUAAUGCCACUGAACUGCACACCCAAAAAUUUUUUUAGUGGUAAAUCUCGUGUAUAUGUUACCAUACUUUUUUUUAAAAAGUAACAGCUAUUAUUAUUACCUCAUGGGGUCACCUUCAGCUACUCAUGGAGCUUUAGGGCAACUUGGCCACCUGGAAGUAGGAAAGGCCUUUUGCCCCAGCAUGGAGUUUAGGUUCUAUACUGUGCUCUCCAGCACUUUCUCCCACUGAAGAGAAUUAAACUCUUAAGUCCUGCAUGACUUCUGCCAAGGAACCUCGUUACCUGGGGAGUUCUCCGAAUGAUAGACAGACACACAGACAUAUCAAAGAGUUGGACACAUGGAAACAUGCCCCAGGAGACAGACAGGAAAGGCCACCGAAGGGAUGAUCUAGGAGAGAACCUUGGUCUCCGGAGAUGGGUGCUUCAACUGCUCCAGGUGAGACCUUGAGUAAAACUGGAUAGAGUCGGGGAGGAGUUGCCAACCACACUCUCAUUAUAUGGUCCAGGUCUUGGCUCAGGCUUCACCCGUCUUGCAGCCUGUCUCUCCUCUAAUCCUCUCCAAAACCUCACAAGCCUUCCCAGGCUCUCAGGCUUGGAUAAGAGCCACCUCCUGCAGAGGGCUCCCCAUGCAACUCCAGCCCUCCCCAGGCUCUGCACUGAGCAUCACAGCCUCAGUCUAUUACUCAGUUCUAGCUCAGUUGUUGUUCACCAAUUCUUUUGUGUGUGUCAGUUGUAUCUCCUCUUUAAAGAUGGGAGCUCUGGCUGCACUCCUCACCUCACACACUGCCCCUAAUUGUGCAGACCACACUUCCACUUUCUUAAACGAUGGCAAAUUGAUGAAUUUUUAGAAAAAAAAAUGUAUGAGUUCUUUCCCAUCAGUAGUUCCUAAAGUAUGCUUUCAAGAAUACCAGUUGCAUAGAAUAUCAAGAGAUAUUAUGAGAAAAGAGGGUUCCAUAAUCUAAUAUAUUUGAGAAACACUGAGAUAAAUAAAAAUAAAUAGGUUUAUUUAUUGCAGGACACAUCAGAGACUAGGAUGUGGUAACAAUUACUUUAGCAAUGUGCUGAGGCAGCUCUCACCUGUUCAAGAGAGCCAGUUCUGCGCAUCUCUUCCCAAGUCACAUUCAUUCAUGCAACAUAGGUAACUUGAAAUUGGCCAUAAUGGGAGUAUUUACACCACAGAAAUCAGCAAACACUGCAAAUGUGACUGUUUUUUUCUUUUUUCAAAGAGCUGGUUUAUUUGCACAUACUGAAUAUCACUUCAAGACAAGACUAUAGCAUGUAGGUUUUCCUAGUACAUUUAACUUUCUCAUCUUGUGGGAAGUAUUUUGAAGGAAGUAGUACUCCACAGAACAUCCUUUGGGGAACAUUGCCCUAUGCAAAGAUACUUUAAGUAAAUGCCAAGGGGGAAGAGUGAGAGGAACUUAGAUUAACUGAGCAUCUGCUAUGUGCCUGGCAAGAUGCUGGCUCUUUAUGUACGUUAUUUUAUUUAAUGUUCACAAUGACACUGGAAAGAGAUACAAUAGUACCCACAUUUUACAAAUGAAGAAAAAGAUCAAAGAAUUUUCUCAACUUCACAUGAUGAGUAGUCAGGUCAUGAGCUGUCUUUAGAAUCUGGUCAUUUACAGUUGACAGAGAUACUUGUAGAAAAUAACAAAAAAGUUUUAAGAAAAGAAAAUUUUCUUAAAAAGUUAGAAAAGUUACUAAAAAUCCUAUCUCGUCUUCUUCCUAUUUAUCAUCUGCCAUGGGUAAAAUGUCCUGGAUUUCAGAAUCUCCUGGGCACUUUUUAAAAUUGCUGGUGCCUGAGCUUCGCCCCUCCCCAGGGCAUUUCUAUUCCGUAUCCAGGAUCAAGAACCACUGAAAAUGAUAAAGACUCUGACAGGAGUUCCCGUCGUGGCGCAGUGGUUAACGAAUCCGACUAGGAACCAUGAGGUUGCGGGUUCGGUCCCUGCCCUUGCUCAGUGGGUUAACGGUCUGGCGUUGCCGUGAGCUGUGGUGUAGGUUGCAGACGUGGCUCGGAUCCUGCGUUGCUGUGGCUCUGGCGUAGGCCGGUGGCUACAGCUCCGAUUCAACCCCUAGCCUGGGAACCUCCAUAUGCCGCGGGAGUGGCCCAAGAAACAGCAACAACAACAACAAAAAGACAAAAAAAAAAAAAAAAAAAAAAAAA
Molecule: long non-coding RNA, 6462 nt
Filed under: Sus scrofa (pig)
Lineage: Eukaryota; Metazoa; Chordata; Mammalia; Artiodactyla; Suidae
Description: lncRNA (ENSSSCG00015047953.1)
Source: RNAcentral